RNAcentral lists this ribosomal RNA (449 nucleotides) under uncultured bacterium. Its description in RNAcentral is "bacterial SSU rRNA". It matches the Rfam family "Bacterial small subunit ribosomal RNA", at positions 329 to 795 of the family's 1533-position model. The record is from RNAcentral.
GGCCAGACUCCUACGGGAGGCAGCAGUGGGGGAUAUUGCACAAUGGGGGAAACCCUGAUGCAGCGACGCCGCGUGUAGGAAGACGGUCCUCUGGAUUGUAAACUACUGUCCCCAGGGACGAAGAUGACGGUACCUGGGGAGGAAGCUCCGGCUAACUACGUGCCAGCAGCCGCGGUAAUGCGUAGGGAGCGAGCGUUGUCCGGAAUUACUGGGUGUAAAGGGAGCGUAGGCGGGGAUGCAAGUUGGGUGUUAAAUCUACCGGCUCAACUGGUAGUCGCACUCAAAACUGCAGCUCUUGAGUGAAGUAGAGGCAGGCGGAAUUCCUAGUGUAGCGGUGAAAUGCGUAGAUAUUAGGAGGAACACCAGUGGCGAAGGCGGAUGACUGGACGGCAACUGACGGUGAGGCGCGAAAGCGUGGGGAGCAAACAGGAUUAGAUACCCCCGUAAUG